GCCGACGUGGUGGAAUUGGUAGACACGCUAUCUUGAGGGGGUAGUGACCUAGGUCGUGCGAGUUCGAGUCUCGCCGUCGGCA
Molecule: non-coding RNA, 82 nt
Organism: Thiobacillus sp. SCN 63-57
Lineage: Bacteria; Pseudomonadati; Pseudomonadota; Betaproteobacteria; Nitrosomonadales; Thiobacillaceae
Source: Rfam